This 91-nucleotide ribosomal RNA is filed under the name Mannheimia haemolytica PHL213. The record is from RNAcentral. Lineage: Bacteria; Pseudomonadati; Pseudomonadota; Gammaproteobacteria; Pasteurellales; Pasteurellaceae.
AGUGCUGUGGUCCUACCUGACCCCAUACCGAACUCAGAAGUAAAACGCAGUAACGUCGAUGGUAGUGUGGUGAUUCGCCAUGUGAGAGUAG